This 571-nucleotide long non-coding RNA is filed under the name Rattus norvegicus (Norway rat). Its description in RNAcentral is "long non-coding RNA NONRATT031660". Lineage: Eukaryota; Metazoa; Chordata; Mammalia; Rodentia; Muridae. The record is from RNAcentral.
CUGAGUUCUUUCUGGACAGAACUCAGAAGACUUACCCAACUCCGUAUAGAUGUCUUGGCAGAGCAGCAGUUAAGAGGCAGUGGGAGGAACAAGGGAACUGGUACUGGUUCAGAGUCUCAGGACACUGCUUUCCCCAAACAAUGCCAUUCAUUUCAUUGCUCAAACUUUUAACUAAUGCACGGGUGUGACUAGCAUUUUCAGUUGCUUUUCUCCUUCCCUCGCCUUUCCUAAGGACUUCAGAUUGAUCUGCAAAAAAUAAAGGCUCUCAUGGAAAACAUGGGUUACGACCUCGAGGAGGAUGAAUAUGACGACUUCUUGAGUUACCUGCCCAUGUACAAGAGUAGGAUGGUUGGCUUGAGAGACGUAAUGGCAAGGGGGAACCUUUAUACGGGUGAGAAGAUUGAUAUCGGCGACCUACCAGAAUUCCUGGACAACAUAGGGAUAAAACUCACAGAAGACAAGACAAUGAAACUCCUGGGUAAACUGCCGACUGAUGGUGAGCAUCAGAGGAUACCAAACUAGCCCCGGAGAAGUGUUAAACAUACAAACUUGUGUGACCAGAGAAGAGGCC